ACGACGCUGGCGGCGUGCUUAACACAUGCAAGUCGAACGGACGAGUGAGAUAAGUUUACUUAACUCACAAGUUAGUGGCGGACGGGUGAGUAACACGUGGAUAAUCUACCUGCAACACCGGGAUAACGCUGUGAAAACGGUGCUAAUACCGGAUACGUUCCCUUGUGCGCAUGUAUGAGGGAAGAAAGCUCAGGCGGUUGCAGAUGAGUCCGCGGCUGAUUAGCUAGUUGGUGAGGUAAAGGCUCACCAAGGCGAUGAUCAGUAGCCGGCCUGAGAGGGUGAACGGCCACACUGGGACUGAGACACGGCCCAGACUCCUACGGGAGGCAGCAGUGGGGAAUCUUCCGCAAUGGGCGCAAGCCUGACGGAGCAACGCCGCGUGGGUGAAGAAGGCCUUCGGGUUGUAAAGCCCUGUCUUAUGGGAAGAAGUCAGUGACGGUACCAUAGGAGGAAGCCACGGCUAACUACGUG
RNAcentral lists this ribosomal RNA (471 nucleotides) under uncultured bacterium. Its description in RNAcentral is "bacterial SSU rRNA". It matches the Rfam family "Bacterial small subunit ribosomal RNA", at positions 33 to 507 of the family's 1533-position model. The record is from RNAcentral.